GGGAAGCUGCUGGUCUGGAGGAUCUGGGGCUGGGAACGGUCCUGUUACAAAUGGCUGCUGUGUCUGCCUCCUCCACGUCCUGCUGCCAGUGGCUGAGACGCAAAAACAACAGGAUCUAAGCCUCCAUGAAAACAGUCAUUUGGAUUCUGGUGAUCACCUCAGAGAACUUGGCCGUACUAUCACUGCACCUCUCACCUGUCAGGUGGCGCCAUCCUGACGUCUCGGCACAGCCGGCCGGUCCAGGCGCAGUACGGAUCCCUGGACAGCACGCACUCUCCACAGCUCAGGUAGUUGGAGCAGUUGGCAACAGGAACCUCCACCAGCCCAGAGUACGAGGACACGAACAGCAGCCCCUGCAGAUCGGGACAAACAUCUGAGCGUGAGCAGAACCCAAAAGCCUGAAGCAGAGGAUUCUGGUCCGAUCUCAAAAAAAAAAAAA
Molecule: long non-coding RNA, 439 nt
Organism: Oryzias melastigma (Indian medaka)
Lineage: Eukaryota; Metazoa; Chordata; Actinopteri; Beloniformes; Adrianichthyidae
Exons: 2
Source: RefSeq, a predicted model, not a curated record